RNAcentral lists this long non-coding RNA (210 nucleotides) under Elaeis guineensis (African oil palm). RNAcentral's name for it is "long non-coding RNA (EGUI_LNC046767)". The record is from RNAcentral. Lineage: Eukaryota; Viridiplantae; Streptophyta; Magnoliopsida; Arecales; Arecaceae.
AGUAAAAAGGUCCUUGCUAGUUGCUCGUAGCCGCACAGAAUGUCUGACCUCUACGGAUAGUCCAUUCGAAGCCCCGAUCUGAUCAGCCUCCUUGAGAGUGCUAGAUCGCACGAAGACCAUCUUGCUGGCUACUCUGGAUCCUUCCUUUAGUUCUCUUGAAUCCUUUCAGAGGUUAAAGAAGGAUGUCAAUGGAGGCAUAAGAGAUGUUGU